CUUUAUUUUCAGCCUUUUGGCUAAGAUCAAGUGGAGGAUCUGUUCUUAUCAGUUUCAUACCUGAUAUGUCCUCUAUCCAAGGACAAUGCAUUAAAUGGAUUUUAGGANCCCGCCCCAGUACAGAGCUUCAAACUUGGGAUGGCUGGGAAUGCAAGCUGGUGCAGCCACU
This 169-nucleotide small nuclear RNA is filed under the name Panthera pardus (leopard). Its description in RNAcentral is "U2 spliceosomal RNA (ENSPPRG00000020048.1)". The stretch from base 1 to 130 matches the Rfam family "U2 spliceosomal RNA". Rfam says of the family: U2 is a small nuclear RNA (snRNA) component of the spliceosome (involved in pre-mRNA splicing). Complementary binding between U2 snRNA (in an area lying towards the 5' end but 3' to hairpin I) and the branchpoint sequence (BPS) of the intron results the bulging out of an unpaired adenosine, on the BPS, which initiates a nucleophilic attack at the intronic 5' splice site, thus starting the first of two transesterification reactions that mediate splicing. The record is from RNAcentral. Lineage: Eukaryota; Metazoa; Chordata; Mammalia; Carnivora; Felidae.